Molecule: ribosomal RNA, 253 nt
Filed under: uncultured bacterium
Lineage: Bacteria
Description: partial 16S ribosomal RNA
Rfam family: Bacterial small subunit ribosomal RNA
Source: RNAcentral
UACGUAGGGUGCAAACGUUGUUCGGAAUCACUGGGCAUAAAGAGCGCGUAGGCGGUCUGAUAAGUCCUGUGUGAAAGCCCCCGGCUCAACCGGGGAAUUGCAUAGGAUACUGUCGGGCUAGAGUACAGGAGGGGAGAGCGGAAUUCCUGGUGGAGCGGUGAAAUGCGUAGAUAUCAGGAGGAACGCCAGUGGCGAAAGCGGCUCUCUGGUCUGUUACUGACGCUGAGGUGCGAAAGCUAGGGGAGCAAACGGG